RNAcentral lists this ribosomal RNA (440 nucleotides) under uncultured bacterium. RNAcentral describes it as "partial 16S ribosomal RNA". It matches the Rfam family "Bacterial small subunit ribosomal RNA", at positions 338 to 795 of the family's 1533-position model. The record is from RNAcentral.
CCUACGGGGUGCAGCAGUGGGGGAUAUUGCACAAUGUGGGAAACCCUGAUGCAGCGACGCCGCGUGUGGGAAGACGGUCUUCUGGAUUGUAAACCACUGUCCCCAGGGACGAAAAUGACGGUACCUGGGGAGGAAGCUCCGGCUAACUACGUGCCAGCAGCCGCGGUAAUACGUAGGGAGCAAGCGUUGUCCGGAAUUACUGGGUGUAAAGGGAGCGUAGGCGGGGAUGCAAGUUGGGUGUCAAAACUACCGGCUCAGCCGAUAGUCGCACUCAAAACUGCAACUCUUGAGUGAAGUAGAGGCAGGCGGAAUUCCUAGUGUAGCGGUGAAAUGCGUAGAUAUUAGGAGGAACACCAGUGGCGAAGGCGGCCUGCUGGGCUUUUACUGACGCUGAGGCUCGAAAGUGUGGGGAGCAAACAGGAUUAGAUACCCCAGUAGUC